Molecule: long non-coding RNA, 442 nt
Filed under: Pan troglodytes (chimpanzee)
Lineage: Eukaryota; Metazoa; Chordata; Mammalia; Primates; Hominidae
Description: long non-coding RNA NONPTRT003840
Source: RNAcentral
GGUGACCAUCAGGUGAUGGUCAGGCAGUUGUUAACUGUCUCUCUAAAGUAAUAAUUGGCCACAGCCAGUGCCAGAGAAAGUCAGUCUACUAAUACAUGUAGAUAGGAAACACCUGAAACUGAUCAGCAGCUUCCCAGUAAGAUCUCAGGAGUGGAGAGAAGGAACGCAAGAUCCCGGAAGUAUGCCUGUGUAUAAAACCCCAAGUCAAAAGAAUAAAGCCCAAAAAUAUUAGCAUAACAUUCAGGGGACUUCGUGAUCAAGAUCCACUUUAUCUCCCCUGUGUCAUCUCUGACUGCCACCCUGUGAAGCCUUGAUUCAACUACACCGAACCACUGACAAUUCUUGAGAACAUGAAGUUAUUAAAAAGUAAAAUCUAUAGUUGGGGGCAAUAUAACUGUAGAAAAUCCAAAAAAAGGCAUUUGAAAAACAAAGUUAAUAAGCC